GGAGUUGUAGCUCAGUGGUAGAGCACUUGCCUGGCAUGUGUAAGUCCCUGGGUUCAAUCCUUAGCACCA
This 69-nucleotide transfer RNA is filed under the name Ictidomys tridecemlineatus (thirteen-lined ground squirrel). RNAcentral describes it as "Spermophilus tridecemlineatus (thirteen-lined ground squirrel) tRNA". It matches the Rfam family "tRNA". From Rfam's summary of the family: Transfer RNA (tRNA) molecules are approximately 80 nucleotides in length. Their secondary structure includes four short double-helical elements and three loops (D, anti-codon, and T loops). Lineage: Eukaryota; Metazoa; Chordata; Mammalia; Rodentia; Sciuridae. The record is from Rfam by way of RNAcentral.